GAUGAACGCUGGCGGUGUGCCUAAUACAUGCAAGUCGAGCGAACGGACGAGAAGAUUGCUUCCCUGAUGUUAGCGGCGGACGGGUGAGUAACACGUGGAUAACCUACCUCUAUGACUGGGAUAACUUCGGGAAACAGGAGACAAUAAUGGAUAAUACUUUGAACCGCAUGGAUCAAAAGUGCUAGACGGUCUUGCUGUCACUUAUAGAUGGUUCCGCGCUGCAUUAGCUAGUUGGUAAGGUAACGGCCUACCAAGGCAACGAUGCAUAGCCGACCUGAGAGGAUGAUCAGCCACACUGGAACUGAGACACGGUCCAGACUCCUACGGGAGGCAGCAGUAGGGAAUCUUCCACAAUGGGCGAAAGCCUGACGGAGCAACGCCGCGUGAGUGAUGAAGGUCUUCGGGUCGUAAAGCUCUGUUAUUAGGGAAGAACAUAUGUGUAAUUAACUGUGCACGUCUUGACGGUACCUAAUCAGAAAGCAACGGCUAACUACGUG
Molecule: ribosomal RNA, 497 nt
Filed under: uncultured bacterium
Lineage: Bacteria
Description: partial 16S ribosomal RNA
Rfam family: Bacterial small subunit ribosomal RNA
Source: RNAcentral